Molecule: long non-coding RNA, 1701 nt
Organism: Cyanistes caeruleus (blue tit)
Lineage: Eukaryota; Metazoa; Chordata; Aves; Passeriformes; Paridae
Source: Ensembl
CCCCCGAUUUUUCCUGCCCAGCCAGGAGGCUGCAGGACCCCCAGAUCCAGCCCCACCCUGCAGCAAUCUCAGCUCGGUCUCCACCCUGCCCGCCCGGGGUUCCCCGGGUGCCCCCCUCCUACCUGCGGGGUCGGACGCGGCUUUGCUCGGCUCCCUGUGCACCUCCCGGUCCUGCGGAGGGGGUAUAUAAGGGGCCGGGGAGAAACUUCUGGAAAGUUGGGAAAACCCUCUCAAAAAUGCUGGGGAGGGAGAGGAAGGGGAGGAUCCGUGCCGGCUGUGUCCCGGCCCGCCGCCAAUGGCAGGGAAUGCCGGCCCCGCGCCGCCGAAGGGGGGUCGGGCUGGAUGGGGGAUGCGCGUUCCCUCCUCCUGCCCUGCCUGGAGCCCUGCCUGAGCCCAGCCAGCCCUUGCAGCAGGAACAUGGGCAACUAUUCCCUGCACAAGCUGUGCUUUUGCCUUUUCACAUCUUAUUUCCAUCCUCUCCCUCCCCCGGGCGUUUCCUGCAGCUGGAUGGUUGUUGGUACCAAAGGCAGUGUGGUGGAGGAGAAGGAAAAGACCUGAUUGCUGUGGAGAAAAUUCCCCCUCCAUGGCAUCAUCCAGGUAUGUCGUGGUGCACAAACCAGGGAGGACAGGCUACAGAGGCUGCAGCUGCAGCUUUCCCACAGGGCACAGCAGAGAGAGAUUCCCUUGAUCCCAGUUUGUAAUCCCUGUUUAAUACUCCCAGAGAAAAGUUCAAAAUCCACAGGGUUUCCUGCCAGCACAGCCAGGCAGGGGGGCGGAAUUCCUCUGGUGCUUUUGGGUGGAAAGAAUGACAUCUGUGUGGCCUCAGCACAGGGCCAGCACGGGUGAUGGCAGGUUGGAUUGCAAGCCCCUGCAUCCCACACCUUCCUGGAAGCUGGGCUAAGGCAGGAGGAGAUGGAAUCCUUGUGGGUGUGGCAAGAGGGAUUUGCAAUCUCUUAGGAGGACCCACGGGGCUGUGGGAUCCUGUGCUGUUCCUACACUGACCUAGGAGUGCUGGUUUGGGGUCGUGGCAAGCCAAGAGGACUCCAGGAUGUGCCUUGCAGGGUAAUGUUUCACUCAAUGGUCCUAGAGGACUUUUCCAACCUUAAACUCCAUGAUUCUAAGAUGAGCCCUGGUGAUGAGCACUCCUUACCUUCUCCCUUCUGCCUCACAGUGACUGGGACUGGCUGCAUCCUCCCAAAAAGCAGCAGCCAAAAGGAAAAGCAAGUGCUUGGUUUGUCAGCCACAUCAGCCCCACGGGUGCAGGGGCCAUCUCAAGGACAGGAUGUGAGAGCACCAGGGCUUUGGGAUGCUGCAACAUCAGUUUCCUCACUGGAAACAGGCAGCAAGGAAGGUGCCAGUUCCAGGUUUUCACCCUUUAUUAGGAAAUACAAGCAGAGAAGGUCCAGGUAGUCAAUCUGCUCUGCACAGAGUGGAGCUGUGGAGGGGAAUCUCUGAGGUCUUGUUAAAAGCUGAGCUCACUCUGCUGCAAUGAGCUCUCCCUUGUCUCUUCCUGGCAUUUUCCAGGAACAUAUGGGAAUGUGAAAAGUCUGAGCUCUGCCUGCCCUUCACAUUUGGUGGAAGCUGAGAGGAGGCUCAGCCCCACACGCUCCCCCCUCAGCGUUUCAGCUCUCCCGAGGAAAGCGGGAUGUAAAAGGAAACUGUUUAUUCUGGAGCCAGCUGAGGGAACAGAAACGCCCCUAA